Molecule: long non-coding RNA, 1472 nt
Organism: Caretta caretta (loggerhead turtle)
Lineage: Eukaryota; Metazoa; Chordata; Testudines; Cheloniidae
Source: RefSeq, a predicted model, not a curated record
UAGCUCCCAGCUUGCCCGAGGAAGAAAUUUGAGGCCUGUCAGUGUUGCUCUGACUCUCCCAGAGGGGCUUCUUGAGACAGACAAAAGGCUCUUCAUCCUCUCAGGGGCAGUUCAUCCACAAGGGUUCCUAGCACGGCGUGCUGGAAGUGAAGCAUCAGAUAAGAGGCUGCCAUAAUAGCCCUGGUUUUGUUUUGUUUUUAAACAGUGCUCAUAUUCAAGAAUUUUUUUUGAUCAGAUGAGCAAACACAAGGGCAGGCUGGGACAAGUGUUAGCAAUGGAAAGGAUGGAGUAAUACACAAGUACUCGAAACCAAAUGCCACUGUAUGCACAAUAAUAAUGUGAGUGGAGACAGAUUUAUAUCUUCAUUGAGCUAUUUUAUUUCUUUAAGAAAAUAGUUUUAAAUUGUGCAUUGCUUGCUCAAACAGACACCUGGUGAAAAUCUUAUGUUGCUACUUCAGUGAGUUUGAGGUCCUGCCAUAGGAUUAAUGCUGGGAGAUCCCACUGGCUGCAUGAAGACUAUUGACCUCAAGAGGGUCACCUACCAGCAUCCUGUUGAAGUGCCUUGUAUAGUUAUUUUAGUAGCUAUUUGAAGAAUUAAAGUAACUAUGUCUACACUUACGGGGGAUCGACGCUGUGGAGAUUGAUGCACCCACUAAAUCGACCAUGGAUUGCUCUCCCGUCGACUCUGGUACUCCACUGUUACUAGAAGCAUAAGUGGUGCUCUUCUAAAGAAGAUACUAAGUCGGCCAUGCUUGAGCCCAAUUUCUGUUGCAUUCUGUAAAGUUGAGCAUGAAUGAUGUGGUCGAUCUCGAGGAGGACCUGUUUCCAGAUGGUGCCAUAUGCCGAGGACAAAUCAACAAGGGCGAUCCUUGUCUUCAACUUAUAUUGGAAUCCUGCCUCAGUGUGGCCGAUGGGGAAACUAAGGUACAGAAGAACUAUGAUUUUUCCAAGGUCAGGCAGUAAAUCAGUGACAGAACCAGGAAUGGAACGUAGAACCUGACACAUCAUCAUAUGAUCUAACUACUAGAUUAGUCUCCCUCACUGUACUGUAACUUAGAGGCAGCCACUCAUGGACAGUGAUAAAAAGCUUUAUUGAAUUACAUAAAAGCAAAUGUUUCCUUGAGGUAAAGAAUGCAUUUUGUGUUUUCCAGAAUAAUGUAUGUAAGAGCUCAGAAGCAUGAGACAAAUAACCUUUUAUGAGCAGGUCUUUUUGUUCUGAUUCUUAAUAGCCUAUAUCAUUUUAAAUUGGCAUAUUCUGUUUGAUAGUCGCAAUUUUAAGUAAACAAAUCUAAAACAGUCAUGGAACAAAGCAUAGCCAGUUGCUAAAUGUUUCCAUUUGAAGCAAUGUUGUUACUGUCCAAUAUGCCAUUUGAAGUCGUAGUGUUUUGCAAGCAAAUGUGAUCGAGUAUCAAUAAGAAUAAUUCUGUGAAAAAUUCUGUGAAGCAAAUGCUUGUAUUGUUUUAAUUAUAAAG